AAAAAAGGGGAAAACAUGCUUUUAUAUCUGCAGAAGUUUUUAGUUUUUAAAAGUGGAUUAUGGUAUAUAAUAGUUUUGUCCCCUGUGUUGCAAGGAACUAAGACCUCAGGUUAUUUCUCUUUUCAUAGGUACAAUAUAAGAAACAUAAAAGAAAUAAGCACUUAGGUACAUACAGUUAGGCAUUUUUCUUACUGAUUAAACUCUACAAAUCUGUAUGAUUGUUAUUUUUUUGUACUCAAUAUUACUGAAUAACCUAAGAAUGCUUUCAGUUGUUGAGAAAUGUAACUUUUAAAUGUAUUCAAGAAACAUUUGUAGUGUACAUAUUAUAUAUAGGGUAUUGCACCAGGCAGUGGAGUUGGAUACAAGCAGAGCAGGUAUUGGUCCCUGACUUGAAGGAUUCUAGCAAAAGAAACAGACAAACUGGUGCUUAUAAGGGUUAUAAGGAAAGUACAAGGUCCUAUGGGACUGCAUAACCAAAGCACUUACGAACUUAAAGAGACAAAAAUUUCUGAGAGGAGGUCAAUUAAGAUGUGAACCUGAGUCCAGUAUGGUGGCACCCAGUGGCAGUGUGAACUGUGAGGAGUUCGCCGAGUUCCAGGAAUUACUCAAGGUGAUGUGGACAGUUGAUACAGACUAGUACAUUAAUUAAACACUACAGUUCCAACAGCUUCCUUUGCAGGGAAGAUUGAUGCCAGCCAAACCUGUAAACAACUUUGAGUCUUUGAUGGCAGCUCAUGCCAGUAGGGACAGAGUCAUAAAAAACUAUAUAGCCCAGACCUCAGCAGUAGUAAAAAACCUCUGAGAAGAGAGAGAAAAGAAUUUGGACGAUUUAAUAUUGUUAAAGCAACUCAGAACAGAGCAGGCAAAGUUGAAAUGGAUGUAGUCAGAAUGAUAAAUGACAGGAGCUGGAAGGAGUUUAAUGAAUGCUGCCGAAUUCACUUCAAACCUCCAAAUAAACAGAAUAAACGGA
RNAcentral lists this long non-coding RNA (970 nucleotides) under Homo sapiens (human). Its description in RNAcentral is "non-protein coding lnc-CCDC13-3:1". Lineage: Eukaryota; Metazoa; Chordata; Mammalia; Primates; Hominidae. The record is from RNAcentral.